This 81-nucleotide transfer RNA is filed under the name Methylobacterium dankookense. Its description in RNAcentral is "tRNA-Ala". Lineage: Bacteria; Pseudomonadati; Pseudomonadota; Alphaproteobacteria; Hyphomicrobiales; Methylobacteriaceae. The record is from RNAcentral.
GCCGGGCUGGCGGGCGGCGAGCAGCCCCUCGCUCGGGCUCAGGGACUCGCCCGCGGCGAGUUCCCAGCCCGCGCCCGAGCC